UACGUAGGGUGCAAGCGUUGUUCGGAAUUACUGGGCGUAAAGCGUACGUAGGCGGCGGGUUAAGUCGAAUGUUAAAGCCUGGGGCUCAACCCCAGAGAUGCAUUCGAUACUGGCUCGCUAGAGGGUGAUAGAGGAAAGUGGAAUUCCCAGUGUAGCGGUGAAAUGCGUAGAUAUUGGGAGGAACAUCAGUAGCGAAGGCGACUUUCUGGGUCACACCUGACGCUGAGGUACGAUAGCGUGGGGAGCAAACGGG
RNAcentral lists this ribosomal RNA (253 nucleotides) under uncultured bacterium. RNAcentral describes it as "partial 16S ribosomal RNA". It matches the Rfam family "Bacterial small subunit ribosomal RNA", at positions 524 to 776 of the family's 1533-position model. The record is from RNAcentral.